Non-coding RNA from Ciona intestinalis (vase tunicate), 1510 nucleotides. The record is from RefSeq and is a predicted model, not a curated record. NCBI's taxonomy places the organism in Eukaryota, Metazoa, Chordata, Ascidiacea, Phlebobranchia, Cionidae.
CGCGUCAUCUCGAAGCAGCUGAAUGUUGCAAUCGCAGAAGAUGGGGUUGCCCGCAAAGUAGAACGAGUACAGGACUCUGUGGGUGGUGGAUUUGGUGGUGGUUGUUGUUCUUUACCCCAAACAAGCGAAACGCAUACGGAUGUACCUCGUGUAUGUUGUUCCCAGCCAACGAUAUAAACCAACACAUUGGGAGUUGCUGAAAUUGAUUCUCUCCGAGUAUUCGAAGCUUCAAUGUUUGGAGUUCUUUCAACUUCCUGAACGAGCCGCUGGUUAAGGUUCGUAUGCGAUUGUGGUUUAGGUUGAGUGUUCGGAGCUUGUGAGGGAACUUUAUACCUGGGUAGGUAGGUUAAGAUCGACCAAGUUCUUCAAUAGUUUGAACCCUCGUUGUGGAAGAUGAAAGAUCUUGUUGUUUUUGAAACUUAAUCUUCGUAGCUUCCUGGGGUGAGAGGUUGGAUUAUUGAAGUUUUAUUGAGGUAGUGUUGGUUUAUAGGGGUAAUGAGCCAACUCUGGCCUGACUUCGUUGUUUUUUUAAUUUUUGGGGUUAACUCUGGCCUGAAUUCCUCUAAACUUCAUGUCCCAUGGGCCAUGGUGUGCCUCACUGUAGAACCUCACCCAUAUAGAAUAGAAUGUGCAAAUACAAUGUUGGGGUAAUGGGCCAACUCUGGCCUAAUCAAGCACCGAACCUCGUACCCUUUGGUUACAAUGCACUCACCUAACCCCUGAGCUUUUCAUUGGUCAAUCAAAAUAUUCAUUGUUUGUUUCUUACUUGAAUCGACUGUUGAUUAUGAUGUCACGGAUAAGAUUAUUAUCCACCAAUAAUGUUUCGAGUUUCGCAAGAUUUGAGAACUCGUCAAAGUUGAUCGUUGUCAUGGAGUUGUUGCUUAGCAACAAUCCCGUAACAUUGGCAACGACCCCGGGGGGGAAGGAGGUAAGGUUGGCAUGGAAACAACUCGCGGCAACUCCGGCACAAAAUAUUUUCCCUCGUCUCUGGGUGGCUGGGGGUGUUGGUAGUAAAAUACUUUCACACACGCAUGGUGAUGGACACGAUGUGAUUGGUUGGUUUGGUCGUCUUGCUGCUGAUGUAAGGUUAACAAUCAACGCAACAACCAACAACCAUGAAAGCUGGGUCAGAUUCAUACUCUGCUAACUUUUCAAGUGCCAUUGUGUGUGUGCAGUGGAGCAUGAAGUGUGCAGUCAAGCAUGCAAUGCAGCAACAAGUGGCUUGGGUGAAAUAUUUUGGUUGAUUGAUCGAUCAUUUCUGUCCGGUGCCACCCAGGGGUUACGGGUUCAAGGCUUGACAUUGCCAUAGUUAUUGGCGUAUUUUACUACAGGCAAAACACUUAACGCCAAUUGUUUCAACCCAGUAGUCAAUUUAAACUCAAACUUUUCCACAUAAGUUUAAACAUGGCGCGGUGUAUUACUAAUUGUCAUAUUCUAUAAAUUCAAUAUCUUUAUUGUUUUAUUUAAUUUGAUAUUAGUUUUCGUAAUAAAAAUGAUUAAUAAAAAAUCA